CAGUUCGGACUGUGGUCUGCAACUCGACCACACGAAGCUGGAAUCGCUAGUAAUCGCGAAUCAGCAUGUCGCGGUGAAUACGUUCCCGGGUCUUGUACACACCGCCCGUCACACCAUGGGAGUCAGCAACGCCCGAAGUCAGUGACCUAACCGAAAGGGACGGAGCUGCCGAAGGCGGGCCGGUAACUGGGGUGAAGUCGUAACAAGGUAGC
Molecule: ribosomal RNA, 212 nt
Filed under: uncultured bacterium
Lineage: Bacteria
Description: partial 16S ribosomal RNA
Rfam family: Bacterial small subunit ribosomal RNA
Source: RNAcentral